CAAUAGCGUAUAUUAAAGUUGUUGCAGUUAAAAAGCUCGUAGUUGGAUUUCUGGUAGGAGUGACCGUGCCAGACUUGAUUGUCUGUGUAUUGUGUUGUCUCCAGCCAUCCUUGUGGAGAACUUUUCUUGCAUUAAUUUGUAGGGAUUGGGACCCGCAUCGUUUACUGUGAAAAAAUUAGAGUGUUUAAAGCAGGCAAUCGCUUGAAUACAUUAGCAUGGAAUAAUAAGAUAGGACUUUGGUACUAUUUUGUUGGUUUGCAUACCAAAUUAAUGAUCAACAGGAACAGUUUGAGGAUAUUCGUAUGAACAUGUCAGAGGUGAAAUUCUUGGAUUUUGAUCAGACGAACUACUGCGAAAGCAUUUAUCAAGGAUGUUUUCAUUGA
This 383-nucleotide ribosomal RNA is filed under the name uncultured eukaryote. RNAcentral's name for it is "partial 18S ribosomal RNA". It matches the Rfam family "Eukaryotic small subunit ribosomal RNA", at positions 592 to 976 of the family's 1831-position model. The record is from RNAcentral.